RNAcentral lists this ribosomal RNA (117 nucleotides) under Lepisosteus oculatus (spotted gar). The record is from RNAcentral. Lineage: Eukaryota; Metazoa; Chordata; Actinopteri; Semionotiformes; Lepisosteidae.
GCCAGCAGCUAUAUCACCCUGCAGCUCUCAACUGGCUACCCACUGAAGCUAAGCAGGGUUAAGCCUGGUCAGUACCUAGACGGGAGACCUUGUGGGAAGCUAUGGUUGCUGCUAGAA